AGUGAACGCUGGCGGUAGGCCUAACACAUGCCAGUCGAACGGCAGCACAGUAAGAGCUUGCUCUUACGGGUGGCGAGUGGCGGAUGGGUGAGGAAUACAUCGGAAUCUACUUUUUCGUGGGGGAUAACGUAGGGAAACUUACGCUAAUACCGCAUACGACCUACGGGUGAAAGCAGGGGAUCUUCGGACCUUGCGCGAUUGAAUGAGCCGAUGUCGGAUUAGCUAGUUGGCGGGGUAAAGGCCCACCAAGGCGACGAUCCGUAGCUGGUCUGAGAGGAUGAUCAGCCACACUGGAACUGAGACACGGUCCAGACUCCUACGGGAGGCAGCAGUGGGGAAUAUUGGACAAUGGGCGCAAGCCUGAUCCAGCCAUACCGCGUGGGUGAAGAAGGCCUUCGGGUUGUAAAGCCCUUUUGUUGGGAAAGAAAAGCAGCAGGUUAAUACCCCGCUGUUCUGACGGUACCCAAAGAAUAAGCACCGGCUAACUUCGUG
Molecule: ribosomal RNA, 492 nt
Filed under: uncultured bacterium
Lineage: Bacteria
Description: partial 16S ribosomal RNA
Rfam family: Bacterial small subunit ribosomal RNA
Source: RNAcentral